CCUCAAAGACCGGAAUAACCUGCCGAAAGGCUGGCUAAUACCGGAUAAGCCUACGAGCUCCUCGGAGCUUGUAGGAAAAGGUGGCCUCUGUAUACAAGCUAUCACUUUGAGAUGAGCCCGCGGCCCAUCAGCUAGUUGGCGGGGUAAUGGCCCACCAAGGCAACGACGGGUAGCUGGUCUGAGAGGACGAUCAGCCACACUGGAACUGAGACACGGUCCAG
This 221-nucleotide ribosomal RNA is filed under the name uncultured bacterium. Its description in RNAcentral is "partial 16S ribosomal RNA". It matches the Rfam family "Bacterial small subunit ribosomal RNA", at positions 129 to 334 of the family's 1533-position model. The record is from RNAcentral.